CGUUCCCGGGUCUUGUACACACCGCCCGUCACACCAUGGGAGCGGGUUUCACCAGAAGUAGGUAGCUUAACCGCGAAGGGGGCGCUUACCACGGUGGGAUUCGUGACGUGGGGUG
RNAcentral lists this ribosomal RNA (115 nucleotides) under uncultured bacterium. Its description in RNAcentral is "partial 16S ribosomal RNA". It matches the Rfam family "Bacterial small subunit ribosomal RNA", at positions 1369 to 1482 of the family's 1533-position model. The record is from RNAcentral.